UCCCUGGUGGCUCAGAGGUUAAAAAGUGUCUGCCUUCAAUGCAGGAGUCCUGGGUUCGAUCCCUGGGUCGGGAA
This 74-nucleotide transfer RNA is filed under the name Bos taurus (domestic cattle). It matches the Rfam family "tRNA". Rfam says of the family: Transfer RNA (tRNA) molecules are approximately 80 nucleotides in length. Their secondary structure includes four short double-helical elements and three loops (D, anti-codon, and T loops). RNAcentral also lists the same sequence under 4 other names. Lineage: Eukaryota; Metazoa; Chordata; Mammalia; Artiodactyla; Bovidae. The record is from Rfam by way of RNAcentral.